RNAcentral lists this transfer RNA (84 nucleotides) under Saprospiraceae bacterium. Its description in RNAcentral is "tRNA-Leu". It matches the Rfam family "tRNA". From Rfam's summary of the family: Transfer RNA (tRNA) molecules are approximately 80 nucleotides in length. Their secondary structure includes four short double-helical elements and three loops (D, anti-codon, and T loops). The record is from RNAcentral. Lineage: Bacteria; Pseudomonadati; Bacteroidota; Saprospiria; Saprospirales; Saprospiraceae. RNAcentral also lists the same sequence under 1 other name.
GCCCAGGUGGCGGAACUGGUAGACGCGCUACUUUGAGGGGGUAGUGAUCGAUAGGUCGUGCAGGUUCGAUUCCUGUCCUGGGCA